GACGAACGCUGGCGGCGUGCUUAACACAUGCAAGUCGAGCGGUAAGGCCCUUUCGGGGGUACACGAGCGGCGAAACGGGUGAGUAACACGUGGGUGACCUGCCCUCAGCUCUGGGAUAAGCCUGGGAAACCGGGUCUAAUACUGGAUAUGACUCCAUGACGCAUGUUGUGGGGUGGAAAGCCUUGUGCGGCUGAGGAUGGGCCCGCGGCCUAUCAGCUUGUUGGUGGGGUGAUGGCCUACCAAGGCGACGACGGGUAGCCGGCCUGAGAGGGCGACCGGCCACACUGGGACUGAGACACGGCCCAGACUCCUACGGGAGGCAGCAGUGGGGAAUCUUGCGCAAUGGGCGAAAAGCCUGACGCAGCGACGCCGCGUGAGGGAU
This 382-nucleotide ribosomal RNA is filed under the name uncultured bacterium. Its description in RNAcentral is "bacterial SSU rRNA". It matches the Rfam family "Bacterial small subunit ribosomal RNA", at positions 28 to 409 of the family's 1533-position model. The record is from RNAcentral.